This 497-nucleotide ribosomal RNA is filed under the name uncultured bacterium. RNAcentral describes it as "partial 16S ribosomal RNA". It matches the Rfam family "Bacterial small subunit ribosomal RNA", at positions 28 to 507 of the family's 1533-position model. The record is from RNAcentral.
GAUGAACGCUGGCGGCGUGCCUAAUACAUGCAAGUCGAACGCAUAGCGAAAGGUGCUUGCACCUUUCAAGUGAGUGGCGAACGGGUGAGUAACACGUGGACAACCUGCCUCAAGGCUGGGGAUAACAUUUGGAAACAGAUGCUAAUACCGAAUAAAACUUAGUGUCGCAUGACACAAAGUUAAAAGGCGCUUCGGCGUCACCUAGAGAUGGAUCCGCGGUGCAUUAGUUAGUUGGUGGGGUAAAGGCCUACCAAGACAAUGAUGCAUAGCCGAGUUGAGAGACUGAUCGGCCACAUUGGGACUGAGACACGGCCCAAACUCCUACGGGAGGCAGCAGUAGGGAAUCUUCCACAAUGGGCGAAAGCCUGAUGGAGCAACGCCGCGUGUGUGAUGAAGGCUUUCGGGUCGUAAAGCACUGUUGUAUGGGAAGAACAGCUAGAAUAGGAAAUGAUUUUAGUUUGACGGUACCAUACCAGAAAGGGACGGCUAAAUACGUG